Argiope bruennichi is the source of this 825-nucleotide long non-coding RNA. RefSeq lists it as uncharacterized. The record is from RefSeq and is a predicted model, not a curated record. Lineage: Eukaryota; Metazoa; Arthropoda; Arachnida; Araneae; Araneidae. The transcript is spliced from 3 exons.
UUUCAAAUUGCUACUUUUCCACAGGGAGGAAGGCUGCUAGAUGUAAUGAUUCAACAGUAUCAUCUGAAAAGAGAAAAUAAAUGGUUAAGACCAAACUGUGUACCUAUGUUCAGUGAAUGAGCUAUUAACAAAAGAGACAAGAAUAAAGAACAAAAGAAAUCUAUUAUCAGAAGCUAUGUACAAACACUGACACUGUUACAUAUCGAUGGAUCAGGUUCCCAUCCCCUCUUCGAAGAAUACCCUCCCCCCAUGAUGUGAGAUGGGUCUGAACGUUCUUUCGAAGUUCCUUAUUCAUUCUCUUUCUUUGAUUUCCUAACAAGUUCUUUACUUCAUGGAAAAGAUUAAAAUCACUCGGUUUUAAAACUUUUGAAUGAAGUGAUAGUAGAUCAUAAGAUCAUCUGUCCCAACAGAAGAUCUUACUUUAAAAAAAACGGAUCAAAUAGUUCAAAAGAAGUGAAGGAUGCUGGAAUCCCAGGUAACGACCUGGUCGAAUAAGAUGCCAGAAUUGUGACAUUGAAAGGUGGAUGUUUAGACAUUCUUGCCACAUAUUCUUUACUUAAUAAACUCAAAGAACUUUUAGAUUAAUGAGGAAUUUCAGAUUACAGUAAAGCUUAUCUUUUCUCGCUGAUAAAAUAUUCUUCAAAUAGGAGGUCGCACUCAUCUUCACGUUAGCGAUUAUACUAUAUUUGUAUGUAACUUGUAAUAAUAAAUCCAUUUUGUUUACAAUCCUUUAUUAUGGAUCAUCGAAAUGUGAAAGAAAAUAGCACUCUUUGUAAGACAUACUUGGCUGUCCAGACCGAGGGUGAGCAGCAUGAAGAAAAAGAG